UUUUGGGGUCUUCGAGCGGCGAACGGGUGAGUAACACGUGGGUAACCUGCCCUGGACUUUGGGAUAAGCCUUGGAAACGGGGUCUAAUACCGAAUAUGACCAUUUUGCGCAUGCUUGGUGGUGGAAAGGUUUUUCGGUCUGGGGUGGGCCCGCGGCCUAUCAGCUUGUUGGUGGGGUAGUGGCCUACCAAGGCGACGACGGGUAGCCGGCCUGAGAGGGCGACCGGCCACACUGGGACUGAGACACGGCCCAGACUCCUACGGGAGGCAGCAGUGGGGAAUAUUGCACAAUGGGCGAAAGCCUGAUGCAGCGACGCCGCGUGAGGGAUGACGGCCUUCGGGUUGUAAACCUCUUUCGGCAGGGACGAAGGGUGACUGACGGUACCUGCAGAAGAAGCACCGGCUAACUACGUGCCAGCAGCCGCGGUAAUACGUAGGGUGCGAGCGUUGUCCGGAAUUAUUGGGCGUAAAGAGCUCGUAGGCGGUUUGUUGCGUCGGCCGUGAAAACUAGCAGCUUAACUGUUGGCUUGCGGUCGAUACGGGCAGACUUGAGUUCGGUAGGGGAGACUGGAAUUCCUGGUGUAGCGGUGAAAUGCGCAGAUAUCAGGAGGAACACCGGUGGCGAAGGCGGGUCUCUGGGCCGAUACUGACGCUGAGGAGCGAAAGCGUGGGGAGCGAACAGGAUUAGAUACCCUGGUAGUCCACGCUGUAAACGUUGGGCGCUAGGUGUGGGGAGCAUUCCACGUUCUCCGUGCCGUAGCUAACGCAUUAAGCGCCCCGCCUGGGGAGUACGGCCGCAAGGCUAAAACUCAAAGGAAUUGAC
This 822-nucleotide ribosomal RNA is filed under the name uncultured bacterium. RNAcentral describes it as "bacterial SSU rRNA". It matches the Rfam family "Bacterial small subunit ribosomal RNA", at positions 80 to 914 of the family's 1533-position model. The record is from RNAcentral.